This 498-nucleotide ribosomal RNA is filed under the name uncultured bacterium. RNAcentral describes it as "partial 16S ribosomal RNA". It matches the Rfam family "Bacterial small subunit ribosomal RNA", at positions 28 to 508 of the family's 1533-position model. The record is from RNAcentral.
GAUGAACGCUGGCGGCGUGCCUAAUACAUGCAAGUCGAGCGAACGGACGAGAAGCUUGCUUCUCUGAUGUUAGCGGCGGACGGGUGAGUAACACGUGGAUAACCUACCUAUAAGACUGGGAUAACUUCGGGAAACCGGAGCUAAUACCGGAUAAUAUUUUGAACCGCAUGGUUCAAAAGUGAAAGACGGUCUUGCUGUCACUUAUAGAUGGAUCCGCGCUGCAUUAGCUAGUUGGUAAGGUAACGGCUUACCAAGGCAACGAUGCAUAGCCGACCUGAGAGGGUGAUCGGCCACACUGGAACUGAGACACGGUCCAGACUCCUACGGGAGGCAGCAGUAGGGAAUCUUCCGCAAUGGGCGAAAGCCUGACGGAGCAACGCCGCGUGAGUGAUGAAGGUCUUCGGAUCGUAAAACUCUGUUAUUAGGGAAGAACAUAUGUGUAAGUAACUGUGUACAUCUUGACGGUACCUAAUCAGAAAGCCACGGCUAACUACGUGC